GUUGAAACACCGGUUUCCAUACGAUCGCUGAAGUUAAGCAACGCCGAGCCUGGUCAGUACCUAGCUGGGUAACUACUUGAGAAUACCAGGUACUGUAAG
Molecule: non-coding RNA, 99 nt
Organism: Acanthosepion pharaonis
Lineage: Eukaryota; Metazoa; Mollusca; Cephalopoda; Sepiida; Sepiidae
Source: the annotation of a GenBank genome assembly